RNAcentral lists this ribosomal RNA (499 nucleotides) under uncultured bacterium. RNAcentral's name for it is "bacterial SSU rRNA". It matches the Rfam family "Bacterial small subunit ribosomal RNA", at positions 28 to 524 of the family's 1533-position model. The record is from RNAcentral.
GAUGAACGCUAGCGGCAGGCUUAAUACAUGCAAGUCGAGGGGCAGCACGGUUAGCAAUAACUGGUGGCGACCGGCGCACGGGUGCGUAACACGUAUACAAUCUACCUUAAACAGGGGGAUAGCCUUUCGAAAGAGAGAUUAAUACCCGUAAUAAAUUGAACGGCAUCGUUUGAUUUUGAAAGCUCCGGCGGUUUGAGAUGAGUAUGCGUCUGAUUAGCUAGUUGGUGAGGUAACGGCUCACCAAGGCGACGAUCAGUAGGGGAUCUGAGAGGACUAACCCCCACACUGGUACUGAGACACGGACCAGACUCCUACGGGAGGCAGCAGUAAGGAAUAUUGGUCAAUGGACGGAAGUCUGAACCAGCCAUGCCGCGUGCAGGAUGACGGCCCUAUGGGUUGUAAACUGCUUUUAUACAAGAGAAAACCCUGGUACGUGUACCAGGUUGAUAGUAUUGUAAGAAUAAGCAUCGGCUAACUUCGUGCCAGCAGCCGCGGUAAU